CCCAUUCCCAGGCGGCGAGUGCGACUGUCCCCGGCUAGCAGCUCCCGCUGCUCCGCCUCCCCUGAGGUGAAGCGCGGUAAACGGACACUCCCCCCCUCGUGCUGUUCCUGAGCAACAGAAGCAAGUGUACAGUGACAGUACUGAGAAAAGGACUUCUUCCACCUGCUGUGCUGCAUGAGCAGCUCCACAAGAACGGUUCUCAACAAGUGUAUUGGUGGCCUGAUUCUGAACUGAAAAUCUGGAUUCACAAGA
This is a long non-coding RNA of Podarcis muralis (Common wall lizard), 252 nucleotides long. RefSeq lists it as uncharacterized. Lineage: Eukaryota; Metazoa; Chordata; Lepidosauria; Squamata; Lacertidae. The record is from RefSeq and is a predicted model, not a curated record.